RNAcentral lists this microRNA precursor (74 nucleotides) under Myotis lucifugus (little brown bat). RNAcentral's name for it is "mir-9193 microRNA precursor family". It matches the Rfam family "mir-9193 microRNA precursor family". Lineage: Eukaryota; Metazoa; Chordata; Mammalia; Chiroptera; Vespertilionidae. The record is from Rfam by way of RNAcentral.
CACUCAGGGAGGGGGUCCCUCAGCCCAGAUUGCAUGAGGGUGCAGGCCAGGCUGAGGGACCCCAUCGGUGCACG